RNAcentral lists this ribosomal RNA (253 nucleotides) under uncultured bacterium. RNAcentral's name for it is "partial 16S ribosomal RNA". It matches the Rfam family "Bacterial small subunit ribosomal RNA", at positions 524 to 776 of the family's 1533-position model. The record is from RNAcentral.
AACGUAGGAGACAAACGUUAUCCGGAGUUACUGGGCGUAAAGGGCGUGUAGGCGGUCUGUUAAGUCUGGCGUGAAAGCUCUCGGCUAAACCGGGAGAGGUCGUUGGAUACUGGCAGACUAGAGGACGGUAGAGGCGUGUUGAAUUCCGGGUGUAGUGGUGAAAUGCGUAGAGAUCCGGAGGAACACCAGUGGCGAAGGCGACACGCUGGGCCGUACCUGACGCUAAAGCGCGACAGCAUGGGGAGCAAACGGG